UGUUGUUGUUAUAUUAUUUAAACCUGAAGAGUAUUGCACAAAAGUAGAAUAAAGAAAUCCAGGAUAAUUGAGCAAGCGCUUCAUAUUUCACGGCCGCUGAACAACAGCUCCUGAUGGAGUUCUAUGAAGAGGUGGAAGAUAUAAGAAAAAAAGGCAAUACCAAUGCCAUAAUUAAAGAAAGAGAGAAAGCCUGGCAGACAAUAGCGGACCGGCUUAAUGCUUAAGUAGUCCAAAACUGUACAAUGAAUAAACAGUGCUCCACUGGAACUGUCAUAAUUAGGCUCCAAUUAAAGGACUAAAGGAGUUACUUUAAGUCCACUAAUCAACUGUUGUACACUUUGCUUUAAAUGUGGCAAGUAGAGGUUCAUGUUACUUAAAUGUAGAGUAUGAUUAAGUGCAAACAAUUAUCCACAAUGUGUGUCAUUUAAUCUAUUUUUGUCAUGUUACGUUUUUAUCUAUUUUAUCUUUCUAUCCUCCAUAAAGAACAAACUUGUCUGGCCAUAAAAGGACCUGGCAGCAAGUUAAAGUUAAAUACAAGAACAUUUUGCAGGCUGCAGUUAAAAAAAAAGACCAUAGAACUGGCACAGGGGGCGGCCCACCAAGCCAGGAUAUGACCCCGGCGGAGGAGCUGGCACUCCAUUUAAAUAAAGGGAGGCCAGUGAUGGAGGGAAUCCAGGGAGGGACUGUAACGGACUCUAUCCCAGCCACAGAAACUGUCCGCUUCAUACAAGUGUCUGGGAACACACUAACACUUUUGGAGCCACCAGAAGAUGAUCCAGUUAGUACAUUGUAUUGAAAUAACAGGCUUGGUAUGUCCUGUGAAAUCUUAAUUCAAGUUCUCUCAAAUGUAUGUAUGUGAUAGAGCUGGCAGACGUUAAAAUAAAACUGAAGAAGAGAAAGCUCCAAGAAAUGGAGCUGGAUCUUGAAAUUAAACGUCGGACACUCAGGAAACUGGACCUGGAAAUCCAGAAACUAGAAAGAGAAGAUCCAAGCAACCAAGACAAACGAGGGCUGCCAAAUAAAAAUUCAACUAGAAAACAUUGUGGUGUCGUCCGUUUUUCAUGAAUGUGAAGUAGAAUUUAAAAGAACCACCAAUGCUAAACAACACAGCAAAAAGUAACAUUUAAGAUCUUUUAUUAACUAAAGAGGCUAAAUCCAAAAAUUAAGAGAAGAAAUGUGCAAUAUAUUGCUCCCUGACAAGUCUGCCAUUAAUGUUGUCUGGGAAGAUGGGAGCAUUUUCCCAG
Molecule: long non-coding RNA, 1244 nt
Organism: Dicentrarchus labrax (European seabass)
Lineage: Eukaryota; Metazoa; Chordata; Actinopteri; Moronidae
Exons: 4
Source: RefSeq, a predicted model, not a curated record